UGGGGAAUUUUGGACAAUGGGCGAAAGCCUGAUCCAGCAAUGCCGCGUGUGUGAAGAAGGCCUUCGGGUUGUAAAGCACUUUUGUCCGGAAAGAAAUCCUUGGCUCUAAUACAGUCGGGGGAUGACGGUACCGGAAGAAUAAGCACCGGCUAACUACGUGCCAGCAGCCGCGGUAAUACGUAGGGUGCAAGCGUUAAUCGGAAUUACUGGGCGUAAAGCGUGCGCAGGCGGUUUGCUAAGACCGAUGUGAAAUCCCCGGGCUCAACCUGGGAACUGCAUUGGUGACUGGCAGGCUAGAGUAUGGCAGAGGGGGGUAGAAUUCCACGUGUAGCAGUGAAAUGCGUAGAGAUGUGGAGGAAUACCGAUGGCGAAGGCAGCCCCCUGGGCCAAAUACUGACGCUCAUGCACGAAAAGCGUGGGGAGCAAACAGGAUUAGAUACCCUGGUAGUCCACGCCCUAAAACGAUGUCAACUAGUUGUUGGGGAUUCAUUUCCUUAGUAACGUAGCUAACGCGUGAAGUUGACCGCCUGGGGAGUACGGUCGCAAGAUUAAAACUUAAAUGAAUUGACGGGGUCAUAGCUGUUUCCU
Molecule: ribosomal RNA, 588 nt
Filed under: uncultured bacterium
Lineage: Bacteria
Description: partial 16S ribosomal RNA
Rfam family: Bacterial small subunit ribosomal RNA
Source: RNAcentral